Molecule: ribosomal RNA, 468 nt
Filed under: uncultured bacterium
Lineage: Bacteria
Description: partial 16S ribosomal RNA
Rfam family: Bacterial small subunit ribosomal RNA
Source: RNAcentral
GAUGAACGCUGGCGGCGUGCUUAAUACAUGCAGGUCGAACGGACAGGCCCUGCUUUUGCUUGGUGCUCGAUUGGGGAACGGGUGAGUGACACGUGAGUAACAUGCCCUUGUAUUUGGGAUAACUUUUGGAGACUGGGGCUAAUAUCGCAUAGGAGCUCCUGCUGCAUGGUGUGGGAUGGUAAGUUUCGGCGGUUGUGGAUGGAUUAGCGGCUUCUCAGCUUGUUGGUGUGGUAGUGACUUACCAAGGGUUUGACGGGUAGCCGGCCUGAGAGGGUGACCGGCGACAAGGGGACUAAGAUACGGCCCAGAAUGCUACGGUACGCAGAAGGGGGGAAUAUUGCACAAUGGGCGGAAGCCAGAUGCAGCAACGCCGCGUGCGGAAAGACGGCCUACGAGUUGUAAACCUAUUUCGACGGAGACGAAGCGUUAGUGACGGUAACGAGUAAGGAAGCACCGGCUAACUACGUG